AAUAGCAAAGCAAAGCAAGUUCAAAGAACUUAAGCAACUAAGGGUACCUGAAAUAGUCAAACAGAUCAGUACACAGACAAACAACAGUAAACAGCAGAAGUCAAUAGUUAAGUUGUACAAUCAGACAUAAUCACAAUGCACGAAGGUGCAAGCCAUAAGCUCAUACUCAAAGGUCAACCCUACAAAACAAAUUCAAAUUAAUCAUACACAAACAAACAGUCAAUUCCCAUUGGAUAAUCAUCAUCAAGCCUAAGCACAUGUGCUUCUAACCUGAAACAAAACUCAAAUGUGAGAGCACAGACCACUAGGACAAGGCCUAGGGUCAAAAGAGGGAAAAAAUCCAGGACAGAAGCUGAUACUCCAUAUUUAAUCAAGUACUAACAUGUCCUAAAAUUAAGGGAGCAUGCAAGAUUGAAUUAUUUCUAAGCCUAGGGGUAGAAUGGUCAUUUCACAGUUAGGGAGUAAUAUUGAAUUAAAUUUCUAUUUACAAAAGUAAGUUCUAUUUAAAGCCAAUUAGAACUAAACUAAAUUUAAUAUUUC
Molecule: long non-coding RNA, 540 nt
Filed under: Lathyrus oleraceus (garden pea)
Lineage: Eukaryota; Viridiplantae; Streptophyta; Magnoliopsida; Fabales; Fabaceae
Description: Pisum sativum (pea) long non-coding RNA (PSAT_LNC040635)
Source: RNAcentral